AGGCACUGACACCAGCAGGGACGGGCCUGGGGGGGACACCCAGUGCCACAGCUCCACCCGCGCCCCACAGGUGGCAGCCGGGGGUGUCUGAGGAAACUCCCCACCCCGCACCACUGGAGAAUGUUCCCAGGACCUCGCCUGCUGCCUGAAAAGCCCACUCUCGUUCUGGUGCUUAUUUUCCCUUCCUUUUUAGGCCAUGAUUUCUGGAGAGCUUGACAUUCUCAAAGACUGGUGCUAUGAAGCUACUUACAGCCAGCUGGCCCACCCCAUCCAGCAGGCCAAGGCACUGGGUCUCCAGUUCCAUUCUCGCAUCCUAGACAUUGACAACGUCGACGUAAGCACCUCGCAGUGGGGGCCCGGGCCACCAUCGGGGGUGGGAACUAUGGCCCAGACAAGGCCCAGGAGGUGGCCUUGCCAGGGGCUGGGGGCCAUGGGCUGAUCCAAGAGGUCUUGGGCUUGUCCAAGGGGAGGGUCUCGAGGGAGGCCUGGUCCUGGCCUGAGAGGCAAGGCCCACGGGGAGGGACCGGUGCUGGGCCUGGUGCUGGAGCCUUCUCCUAGCAGGGCCUAGGCGCAGGGGUUUCACCUCC
RNAcentral lists this long non-coding RNA (587 nucleotides) under Homo sapiens (human). RNAcentral describes it as "non-protein coding lnc-TIMM44-1:1". The record is from RNAcentral. Lineage: Eukaryota; Metazoa; Chordata; Mammalia; Primates; Hominidae.